Molecule: ribosomal RNA, 874 nt
Filed under: Didymella americana
Lineage: Eukaryota; Fungi; Ascomycota; Dothideomycetes; Pleosporales; Didymellaceae
Description: eukaryotic LSU rRNA
Rfam family: Eukaryotic large subunit ribosomal RNA
Source: RNAcentral
ACGGCGAGUGAAGCGGCAACAGCUCAAAUUUGAAAUCUGGCGUCUUCGGCGUCCGAGUUGUAAUUUGCAGAGGGCGCUUUGGCAUUGGCAGCGGUCCAAGUUCCUUGGAACAGGACGUCACAGAGGGUGAGAAUCCCGUACGUGGUCGCUAGCCUUUACCGUGUAAAGCCCCUUCGACGAGUCGAGUUGUUUGGGAAUGCAGCUCUAAAUGGGAGGUAAAUUUCUUCUAAAGCUAAAUACUGGCCAGAGACCGAUAGCGCACAAGUAGAGUGAUCGAAAGAUGAAAAGCACUUUGGAAAGAGAGUUAAAAAGCACGUGAAAUUGUUGAAAGGGAAGCGCUUGCAGCCAGACUUGCCUGUAGUUGCUCAUCCGGGUUUCUACCCGGUGCACUCUUCUACGGGCAGGCCAGCAUCAGUUUGGGCGGUUGGAUAAAGGUCUCUGUCAUGUACCUCUCUUCGGGGAGAACUUAUAGGGGAGACGACAUGCAACCAGCCUGGACUGAGGUCCGCGCAUCUGCUAGGAUGCUGGCGUAAUGGCUGUAAGCGGCCCGUCUUGAAACACGGACCAAGGAGUCUAACAUCUAUGCGAGUGUUUGGGUGUCAAGCCCGAGCGCGUAAUGAAAGUGAACGGAGGUGGGAACCUUUCGGGGUGCACCAUCGACCGAUCCUGAUGUCUUCGGAUGGAUUUGAGUAAGAGCAUAGCUGUUGGGACCCGAAAGAUGGUGAACUAUGCUUGAAUAGGGUGAAGCCAGAGGAAACUCUGGUGGAGGCUCGCAGCGGUUCUGACGUGCAAAUCGAUCGUCAAAUUUGGGCAUAGGGGCGAAAGACUAAUCGAACUAUCUAGUAGCUGGUUCCUGCCGAAGUUUCCCUCAGGA